This 291-nucleotide ribosomal RNA is filed under the name Triticum aestivum (bread wheat). RNAcentral describes it as "partial small subunit ribosomal RNA". The record is from RNAcentral. Lineage: Eukaryota; Viridiplantae; Streptophyta; Magnoliopsida; Poales; Poaceae.
AUGGAGGCCGCACGCGAGGAGGACGGCGGCGGCCGCGGCGACGACAAGCUGCCGCAGGUGGUGUUCGACCGCAUCCUUCGGCGUCAGGUGGUGUACGACGCGCUCAAGCACGGGGGCAGGCACAUCGGCGCUCGGCACCGCCUACUGCUCCUUGUCACCGUCGCACAGAUGCAGCAGCUCCCCACAGCCGCACAGAUCCGACAGCUUCUCACCGCCACAUAUCCUCUUCCCGCAGCUCCUCCUACUCCAGCAGCUCCUCAGGCGGUAAAAAUCAAAUCUUGGGACAACUAA